Molecule: ribosomal RNA, 468 nt
Filed under: uncultured bacterium
Lineage: Bacteria
Description: partial 16S ribosomal RNA
Rfam family: Bacterial small subunit ribosomal RNA
Source: RNAcentral
GACGAACGCUGGCGGCGUGCUUAACACAUGCAAGUCGAACGGACAGGCGCGGCUUUUGCGGGGCGCACGAGAGCCGAAGGGGUGAGUAAAACGUGUGUAACCCGCCCCUGUCUUAGGGAUAACUUCUGGAAACUGGGGCGCAAACCCGAUAGGAGCUACUGAAGCGUGUGGGUGGUUGGAAAGAUUCGGCGGUUGGGGAUGGACUCGAGGCUUAUCAGCUAGUUGGUGGGGUAGUGGCGUACAAAGGUUUCGAAGGAUAGCCGGCCUGGGAGCGUUACCGGGCACCAUGCGACUGCGGUACGGACCAGACGCGUACGGGAGGCAGCAGUGGGGAAUAUUGCAGAGUAGGCGGAAGCCUGAUGCAGCAACGCCGCGUGCGGAAUGACGUCUUUCGGGUUGUAAACCGCUUUGUCCUUUGACGAGGCGUGAGUGACGGUAAUGAGUAAGGAAGCACCGGCUAACUACGUG